GCUGGAAUCGCUAGUAAUCGCGGAUCAGAAUGCCGCGGUGAAUACGUUCCCGGGUCUUGUACACACCGCCCGUCACACCAUGAGAGUUGGGAAUACCCGAAGCCUGUGAGCUAACUUUUAGAGGCAGCAGUCGAAGGUAGAAUCAAUGAUUGGGGUGAAGUCGUAACAAGGUACC
RNAcentral lists this ribosomal RNA (175 nucleotides) under uncultured bacterium. RNAcentral's name for it is "partial 16S ribosomal RNA". It matches the Rfam family "Bacterial small subunit ribosomal RNA", at positions 1325 to 1500 of the family's 1533-position model. The record is from RNAcentral.